This 516-nucleotide long non-coding RNA is filed under the name Coffea arabica (coffee). Its description in RNAcentral is "long non-coding RNA (CARA_LNC006296)". The record is from RNAcentral. Lineage: Eukaryota; Viridiplantae; Streptophyta; Magnoliopsida; Gentianales; Rubiaceae.
AGAAAGGCGUUUAGGAGUGCUGCUUAGAGACCCCACCCGCAAUCAAAUGCCGCAUCAUUUGGCAAAACUCAAAUAGUUUUGUUAAUAUCCUAGUCAGAUCUCACUUUCUUGCUUUGGCAGAUGGGGUUUGAGUUUUUGGAAAAUAAUCUUUAUGCCACUACUCAAAUUUUUUGUAGUACAUAGUGAUGUGAGUUGGUGAAGUUCAUCCCGAAAUUCUUUGUUUUUAGUGGAUAAGGGGAUUGUGCGAAUUAGGUCAUGACUUUUUUGAGGUUUUUGGCAGUCUGCCCAAAUUGAUGGAGAAUUCUUAAUUGAAAAGUUGAUGCGCCAGCCCAUGUAUAUUGUUAGGAUUUACUGAAGAAGUUGGAGUGCUUGUUGUUUGUGAAGGUUUUAUGUGAGGAUUUUGACUAAUUUGGGAAGAUAAUGAAAGUCACUACUUAAUAUACUUAUUUAUAGUAUGGCUAUUUGUGAGGAGAAAAUUUACAUGUUUGGAAAUUGUCGGUCUUACUUUUUCAUUAC